Non-coding RNA from Mus caroli (Ryukyu mouse), 1893 nucleotides. NCBI's taxonomy places the organism in Eukaryota, Metazoa, Chordata, Mammalia, Rodentia, Muridae. The record is from RefSeq and is a predicted model, not a curated record.
GGACCGGCACCGCGCGUGCGUAGAGCUGUCAGCCGCACCCACGACGCGCUUCCAACAAAGUUGCAAAGCAACCGGCAGACCUGUCAGAACGGUGACGAUCCCGGCGAUGGAAGAAAGGCGAAACUGCUCCGCGUGGGCUGCCCGGAGUGGCAUCGCGCCUUGUUCGAGUCCGAAGAAGUUCCCGCUUCUCUAAACCGGCUGAAGAGAUGCGAGUCUCCUCCUCUUGUCCCAACGGGACUGCGUCCUGACACCGAGUGGACUCCGCCCCGAGAGUGCGAGCGUCCUGAGCGAUCAGGGCAUCCUGAGCCGCGGAAGGCAUCCGGCCACACCCCGCUCUUUACCCGCCAACGCCAGCCCAGGUGGUCAGGCUCAGAAUGGACUGUGAGCCCGUGUGUUAUGGAUCUCUGGUUGUAGAGACAAAAGAACAAAGAUGGAAGCCACCAAGGAUGCUCCCGGCUGAAUGAAUUGUUGCUCUCUGGCUUACACAAAGUCAAGCGAAUGAUCUUCCUAUGUUAUGUAAUAUAUCAACGACCUGCUUACCUUACUCCUUUAAUCUACGUUAUUCUGGAAAGUACCACUUGAAACAAAAGAGUAGAUACAUUCUACUGGAAAUAUGACCCUCAGAGAAGGAAAGAAAGACCGAGGGUUGAACCUGAACACAUGAAAGAGAAUCCAAGGACGCAUCCAGGCCUAUUCUGCCCUUGGACCACAUUGUAUGCUUAGUGUUUCAGAAGAGAGAAAUCAUCAAAGGCGCACCCAAAGAAACAUCUGAAUGAAAGCUCAGUGGCAUUUGCUUUUCCCAAGGACCAGCAUCAUGGUUUCAGAGUUAACACACUGGAGAAAUGCCUAACCCUCCAUGUCACUCCCUACAUCCUCAACACUCACUCAGAGAGGGACAUCGAAGAAAGGAUCACCAGUGAGUCGUACUUCUCAAAGAGAAAGCAGAAGUUUAUUGCUGCUGAAAGUCUAUGAAUAAAUCCAUGCUCCAAAUCACAACCCGAAAAAGCUCCAGAAAGGAUGCACAUGGUCUAAAAAAUGGAGAGACUGGUGUCCCAUGCCCUGUCUUGUUACCCUGAGACAUGAUGUUGGGUAGAGUUGGUCUAGGUACAAUAUCAUUGAAUUUGCAGGUGCCUAAGUGUAGGGGAAUCACAUUGCCAUAUACAGUCAUUAUAGUGUCGGGAGACAAGAAAAUCUCUUUCCGGUGCAUCUGAGAACAUUGGAAAAAUAAUUGCAAUGGCCUGCAGACCUCAGGGACUCUCUGGAGAGAUACAGUGUGACCUCUGAAAACGCUUUAGAUUCUGUCAAAUAUCAAGAUGCAGAUCCAUAUCAGUGAUUACCAAAAAGGCUUGUUCAAAUCAUUGUUCUUGAAGAUAGUCACAGAUAGACACCAAUCAAGAGUCAAAUGCUGUAUCCUCUAACCAUUUAAAGCUUGGAUACAGCCCUGAGUGUAAAGGAAGUACUGUGUACCCCUUUGCCACACGAAGGUCAUAUAUUCAAAUCUCACCCCUCCCAAAGGUGAUGAUAUUAGGGGGUUGGGACUUCCAGGAGUGAACAUAACAUAUUCCCUUAUUAAAAAGGCUCAAGGGAGCUCACUUACCCUUCUGUCAAGUGACAACAGACAGCUGCUGUGAGUAAUUAAGUGUGUUCUAGCCACAGACCCUGCCAGUGCCUUGAUCUUGAAUUUUCUAGUCCGAAGAAGUAUGAGACAUUUCUGUUAUGUAUAAUUUACUCAAUAUAUAGUAGGUGUUCUGUUAGCUUAUUUUAAAAUGCAAUGCCUGUAUUUAUCUUGAAAAUAAAGGACUUUAGGUGUGUGUGUGUGUGUGUGUGUGUGUUUGUGUGUGUGUGUCCACAUACAUAGCAUAGACAAUAUGUAAGAUCUGUGUUCAGUUUUGG